ACAACGUCACUCAAACAUACACAGCGGAUAAUUUUAUUCUAAUUUAUUCAGCAGCUGCUUCAGGUUUACCUAUCAAUAUACGUAUCUACUUAAAUAAAAGUAAAGGAAACUGAAGUAUAGUUACUUUGCUACAAGAUUUAUCAUUCAAAUAGUUUGUGCUACAUAAAUAUACUUUAGUUCUAAUGCAUAGUGCAUCAUUGCAGACAUUGCAAACAGCCCAAGCAAGGAAGGACAGUAUGCACGGUACACUCAGCACAAUGGACCAGAGCGUGCUGCCGGGCACGUACGACUCGUGCCGAGGAUACUUGCAGUUGGUCUCUAGUUCCCACUGCGGGAUGACUCGUUCGAAGGGUGUCAUACUUUCCAUGUAGCUGUGGAUUUGAGAUGUAGUUUGGAUACUUAUGGAAUCUUAAAACCUUUUUUUUCAGUAAUAGCUUUCUAAAUAAUCAGGGUAUUAAAUA
Non-coding RNA from Plutella xylostella (diamondback moth), 461 nucleotides. The record is from RefSeq and is a predicted model, not a curated record. NCBI's taxonomy places the organism in Eukaryota, Metazoa, Arthropoda, Insecta, Lepidoptera, Plutellidae.